UUGGUAUAGUUUGGUAGAAGUCGAGAAGGGGGUAUUUGGACGCGGCCCUCUCAAGGCUGAAACAGGGGUUCGAUUCCCCUAGGGAGCGCCA
RNAcentral lists this transfer RNA (91 nucleotides) under Bradyrhizobium sp. RNAcentral describes it as "tRNA-Glu". Lineage: Bacteria; Pseudomonadati; Pseudomonadota; Alphaproteobacteria; Hyphomicrobiales; Nitrobacteraceae. The record is from RNAcentral.